GAAAAUUGUAUUCUCUAUUAAAGGGUUUAGAGGAGUGCAUUCAAAUAAUACUCCUAACAGUUGGAUAAACUGUCAUGAGGGCAUUUGGCUGUGAAGUUGCAAUGAGUGGAGAGGCAUUGACAUUGUUGCUGAUGGUGACGUUCCUGGUUGAUGACAUAGAAGACUUAAUUUCCUCCUCAUGAUUAAUCUCUCAGUUGGAGAGUAUACACACUCUUACACAGAAUCCAGGACGAAAGCCCUCAUCAGAUGCUUACAUCAUGAUCUUGGACUUCCCAGCCUCCAGACUGAUGCUAUGGAAGAUCAGAAAAUAUAAAUUUAUGAACUGCUAUAAACUGUUAUUUUCUUCGUGAAGAUCAGCCUCCAGGUUCAUCACAUGACUCAGCUAAGAGAAAAUAUCCAGUGGCUCAUCGUUACCUGUGGGAGGAGGUCUGAACUCCAUGGCUUUGCAUUCAUGUUCUUGUUUGUCUCACUUCAACCUUCAUUCCCUCCAAGUCCUCGUUGUCCUCCCAGGGUUCCUCUGCUACAGCCGGGGGAGUCUGAUCCCUGCUUCCUAAAUUUCUCUGAAGCUUAUCUACACCUAUGUUUUUGCUCCACUCUUCUUUCUCCUUUAUACACCAAUUAUUCUCCUGUUUUAUCCAAAUUAUUCCCUUCUGCAAGACUCACAUCAAGUACGAUUUCUUUCUAGAUGGCUCUAACUCAGUUAUUGUUAUCUAAUUGCACACAUAUCUCUGAUUAUUGGCAUUAGUCAUUUGGAAAUUUAUUGUAUGCUGCUUUGUUUUAUUAUUUCUCUUUUUCACCUGCCUUGUGCUUACUUCCCCAAUUGGACUACAGAUUCUUUAAGGAUUAGAAGGCUAAUAUACCUACUUUUUGUCUCUAUAGCAUCUAAAACAGUAAUCUGCAGAUAUUAGGUAUUCAGAAUAUAAUUCAAUCUAGAAUCAUUUGGGAAGUUUAAUUUUUAAAGAACUCUGAAUCAUUUUUCUCAAAACUGUCAUAUAAUGCUAAAUUUUCAUUUCAGGUUCUGAGAGAUUCUUUUCUUUUAAGCCCAGCAUUUAUGACUUUCAAAUUUUAAUAAAUAGAACGCCCAAAGUUAGUCAACAGAAACGUCCUAAGUUAACGUGGGUGACCUAAGUUCCUUUGCUGUAUUUUGUACACGUUUUAUAUAUUGCAUCAAGAAAAGCAAAUGAUUGCUGAAAUGAGUAAUAAGGAGCUUCACUGGCUAGUCAAUCUUAUUCCGGAAGCAAAAACUUCCACGCAAGGCUCAUUUACAUGUGCACACUGCAAAAGGAAGUUUUGGGCAAAAUGUCUGCAGACUCUGUUCAACAUGCGUGUCCCACUUAACCACAUGAUCCUUAUAAAACCACCUAUAUCCGUUCUCAUACACAGUGUCUAGCCGUUGUGUUAAUCACUACUGACAGCUGCACUUUUUUUUUUUUAAGCUUCUGAGCUCUUUUGUGGCAAUGUGGCGGGUUGUAAGUAAAGCAAAUGCCACUUUAAAGCUAAUCAUGCUCGGUAUAACUUUUACAUACCAUCAUAAAGAGUUAUUUGCUUACAUAUUCAGCUCUUGCUCUACACUAGGAGUUCUUCGAAGGCAGGGACUAUUUGUUAUUUAUUUCUUCAUCAUCUCCAGCACAGGGCCUGACAGGUGCUUAGUGACUGUUUAUUGAAUGAGUGUUUGCAGAAAAAAUAAAUCAAGAGAUGGAGAAAUAAAGAAAUCUGAGAGGUGGAGAAAUUAAUAGUAGUCCCACAACCAAUGAAUUAAUUGAUAAAUGUUUACUAAUCUCCUACUUUUGAGCCCUGAACUUCAAAGAGAGUGAAGGGAAAUAUGAUAGAACAGACUCAUUCAGGAUCACUUUUUACUCAAUUUAAAAUGCAGGCAAGUGAAAACAGAAACUGGGAGGAAAAAGAGUUCUCCUCUAUUCUCCCCUAAUUCCUUUAUUGAGAGGAGAACUUGCAUGGAUGUUCUUGGAUUAUCCAAAGCUUGUUUCCUCCAUUCUAGACAUUAUCAUGAAAGGCACGAACUGGUGGUUUAUUUUGCCUUCUUAAUGUUAAAAAAAAUAGAAAAUUUUACACUGAUACUCAGAUUUACACUGAUACUCUGUUCUUGAAAAAUAUCUAGCAACCGUAGGUCAAAAUUUCUGCAUAGCAAUAAUUUUUUGAAACUAAACAGUGGCUGCAACCUUUAAACAGGGUACAUGGGUAGUAUCUCCAGGUUGCCAUUGUGUCCAUUUUUGAGGCACAUGGAACUUUACAAGCGCUAUCUGUAGUAAAAACCUGGGUGCUGAAAAAUUCUUGAUUGAGUUUAGAAUGGAAGGGAUUCUGGAGGGUGGGUGAAACAUGAACUAACUUAAUUUAGCUAUACACAUUAUCUAGAUAGAGUGAAAAAUACAUUGAACUUGGGAUCAUUUUUUAGUAUAUUUGCCACUGCUUAGCUGUGUUUAUAUCUUUAAACACUUGGACCUUAUUCUCUUCAUUUUUUAAAAAAGGCCACUACAGCCGCUUUCAGCUUUACCAUUUUCGAUUUUAUUUUUUAGUUACCUAUCCAACAUAAGUGGAUUAUAAGACAGGAGAGAAACCUAUAGGGAAAAAGGAAGGAGAAGAAGAAGGAGCACGUAGAAGAAGUAAACUGAUGUUAAUUUAGUCCCUACUUCAUAGCUACUCUUUUACAUUGUCUCUUGUAACCAUCACCAACCCAUCAUGAGAUAGUUAUUAUCCCUGGUUUAUAAAUGAAAAACAAGGAUUUGGAGUUUCAGAACACACUGUAGAGGCAGAAUGUGUGUCCUGGCUUCUUUGGCCCUAAACAGCGGAUACUUUCAACAGGACUUGUUGAUUUUAGUGCCUUUCCUUUCAUAGAAAAUUAGAUUCGUGGGCCAAGUAUGGUGGCUCAUACCCGUAAUCCCAGCACUUUGGGAAGCUGAGGUAGGUGGAUCGCUUGACCUUAGGAGUUUGAGACCAGCCUGCGCAGCAUGGCAAAACCUUGUCUCUACAAAAAAUGCAAAACUUAGCUGGGCAUCGUGGUGCACAGGCCUGAAGUCCCAGCCACUAGGGAGACUGAGAUGGGAGGAUUGCUUGGGCCCAGGAGGUUGAGGCUGUAGUGAACCAUGAUUGCACCACUGCACUCCAGGCUGGGGGACAGAGCAAGACCCUGUCUUAAAAAAAAAAAUUGGAUUGGCUAUACGAUAGCUUCACGUCAACUCUGAAUCAUGGGGUUAGAUUUAGAAUGCUAUAAAAAAUUAAACAAUAUAAUAAAUAUAAAGCAUCUGGCAUGAAACCAAGUAUAUAACGGAUGCUUAAUAAAUAUAAAUCUUACUCCUUGUUGGUUGCCUUAGAAAUCAUUGCACUGGCCGGGUGCAGUGGUUCACGCCUGUAAUCCCAGCACUUUGGGAGGUUGAAGCAGGUGGAUCACCUGAGGUCAGGAGUUCGAGACCAGCCUGGCCAACAUGGUGAAACCCCAUCUCUACUAAAAAUACAAAAAUUAGCCAGGUGCAGUGGUGCACACCUGUAAUCCCAGCUACUUGGGAGGCUGAGGUGGGAGAAUCACUUGAACCUGGGAGGCAGAGGUUGCAGUGAGCUGAGAUAGUGCCAUGCACUCCAGCAUGAGUGACAGAGUGAGACUCUGUCUCAAAAAAAAAAUUGCAUUUGUAUAUUUGAUGAAUUCAUAACCUUAGACAUUUAGUGGUUGAAAGAGUUAAUAGCAAUAAAAUAUGAACUAUUUACAGUGGCAAAUAUAUAUCUAUAUCUAGUGGUAUGUAUCUGUCUAUGUAUGUACCUAUAGAUAUAUAUAUCUUUGAGUUUUAAGACUUGACCAUAGCCUAUUUAAUUCAAAUAAUAUAGGAGAUAUUUCACAAUCACUGACUGGAAUCUUCCUAGCAUAGUAUAUGUAUCAGCAGAAAUCACUAUAACAAAGAGAAUCUAAUGUAAAUCUUGGCAUACUGGUUACUAAAUGUAGUUUUAUAAAGGGCAAUCUAAUAAAUGUCUUUGGUUUCCAAGGUGCUAACAACAGAUUGGAAUAAUAAACCCUUCUGUUCUCGGAAACCAGAAAUGUCUUUAGGAAUCCUGGCAAAGGAAAAAAAAAAUCUCUGUAAUCUGAUCAAGCCCAAACAUUUGCAAAAGAAAAUUAACUUACAUAACACUGGCCCAGAUCUUAUUAUUUAGAACCAUUUUUGAGAUCAUGAGGCAUAUAUUUUGCUUUACACUCAUAAACAUGUAGCCAAAGUGAAUUAAUUAUGAAUAAUUUAAAAAUGAUCAAAGUUUGUUGGUUAAUAAUGAUGAAUCAACUUGAGUUGAUGGUGGGUUCUGGGAUGAAAUGAAAGGGAAAGGACCAGGUAGAGAUGAGGAGUACUUUGACUGAUUUGAUUACACACUCAAUGGUGUGUAAUCCUACUUCCAUACUGAGAAGGCCUGUGCCGGCCCAAAGAGCCAAGCUUCCUGCCUACCAGUGGAAGUCAGGAAAGCAGUGGUAUGCUGAAGAGCAGCCAACAGCUUACCUUAUAGUACAAGCAUCCUGUGUAGGGUAAAUUAAAAAACAAGAGAUGUCUUGUUUGUUUUUUUUUGUUUUGUUUUGUUUUUGCCUGGUUCUAUUUUAUUUUUGGUCCAAAUCACACUAAGAAGGAGUCUUAAGAUUUUGAAGGGAUAAACAUCAGGAAAAUUGAUUCUUUUCUGUAACUUUAAAUUAUUUAAAGUUAGACAGCAUCUUUCUGACAAUACUUUAUUUAUGUAUCUGUAUCAACGCUUAGGGAGAAAUGAAUGUGGUUUUAUUUUUGUAUUUCAUUUAACUUGAAACUAAAAUGAAGCUAGCUAUUUUCUCCCUCCUGCCCUUCCUUCCUUCUUUCCUUCUUUCCUUCUUUCCUUCUUUCCUUCCUUCCUUCCUUCCUUCCUUCCUUCCUUCCUUCCUUCCUUCCUUCCUUCCCACUGAAGCCCCAUCAUUAAUGCAAAUCCACCCUCUCCUCUCCCCUACUUCUCUACAUCCACACAGCUGUCUUUUCCCUGCUUUGAAAAUAUGUACAUUAGCUGAACUAGAGAGCUAAGGUAUUUCACUAUUCAAAGAAGAGUAUUUCUUACAUAUAUCCAUAUCACAAGGCUUUUAAACUAUUUUUGACUCCUAUAAUUUCUAUAACUCUUUACAAGUCUGAUGUAGACACCAAUUGGAGAACUUGAGAAUUAAGUUUAAUGUAAAGGAUAUCAAAGAGAUAAAAGAUAAUAGAAUUUCAA
Molecule: long non-coding RNA, 5208 nt
Organism: Homo sapiens (human)
Lineage: Eukaryota; Metazoa; Chordata; Mammalia; Primates; Hominidae
Exons: 5
Source: RefSeq, a predicted model, not a curated record